CCUACGGGCGGCAGCAGUGAGGAAUAUUGGUCAAUGGACGAGAGUCUGAACCAGCCAAGUAGCGUGAAGGAUGACUGCCCUAUGGGUUGUAAACUUCUUUUAUAUGGGAAUAAAACGUUCCACGUGUGGGAUUUUGUAUGUACCAUAUGAAUAAGGAUCGGCUAACUCCGUGCCAGCAGCCGCGGUAAUACGUAGGAUCCGAGCGUUAUCCGGAUUUAUUGGGUUUAAAGGGAGCGUAGGUGGAUUGUUAAGUCAGUUGUGAAAGUUUGCGGCUCAACCGUAAAAUUGCAGUUGAAACUGGCAGUCUUGAGUACAGUAGAGGUGGGCGGAAUUCGUGGUGUAGCGGUGAAAUGCUUAGAUAUCACGAAGAACUCCGAUUGCGAAGGCAGUUCACUGGACUGCAACUGACACUGAGGCUCGAAAGUGUGGGUAUCAAACAGGAUUAGAUACCCCAGUAGUC
Molecule: ribosomal RNA, 460 nt
Filed under: uncultured bacterium
Lineage: Bacteria
Description: partial 16S ribosomal RNA
Rfam family: Bacterial small subunit ribosomal RNA
Source: RNAcentral